UUGAAGGUGGAAAUGGCCAUAAUGAGAUUAAGGAGGUACUUGUUAUUCAUACCUAUUGCCCACGAAUAAUCGUGAUAGUAAUUUUGAUUUAAUUGAUUUUAGGCCUUAGACCGCAUUAAAGAAAAAAUCCACCAACACGUGCAAAAUGGCAAAAACAAAAUAUCAAAUGCCCUUAACGAUCUUAAAGAGAAGGUGAACGAUUACCAGCAGAAAAUUCACGAUCAAUUCGAAGAAAAGAAGCAAAAAAUUCACGAUCACUUAGAAGCAAAGAAGGAGAAAAUUGUCGACAUUUACAAUAAGAUCAAACAGAGCAUCCAUGCUGCAAUUGAAGCUGCUGAUCAUCAAUGGCAUAACGACGCGAAUAAAAUACACGAGGUAACUACAUAAAAUUAAUUAUCCACAAUAUUAUACCACUAAUAAUAUUUUCGUUAAUAGUCAGCGACUGGAGUAAUACAAGCUGGACACCAUGCUAUAAAUGAGCACGGAAAGUACAUCAUUGAAAACGUUUGUUCAACCAUAAAGGAUGCUGCGGCACAGUUAGAGAUUGCUUUCGAAAAUGCCAAACAUGCACUGCAGCAACAUAAGCCUGGCCACCAUCAGAAUGAAGCAGCUUUUUACGCUGACAUACAUAAUGCCCUAGCCUCUGUGGUAGAAC
Long non-coding RNA from Orussus abietinus, 655 nucleotides. RefSeq lists it as uncharacterized. The transcript has 4 exons. The record is from RefSeq and is a predicted model, not a curated record. Lineage: Eukaryota; Metazoa; Arthropoda; Insecta; Hymenoptera; Orussidae.